This 2740-nucleotide ribosomal RNA is filed under the name Serratia marcescens. RNAcentral describes it as "bacterial LSU rRNA". It matches the Rfam family "Bacterial large subunit ribosomal RNA". The record is from RNAcentral. Lineage: Bacteria; Pseudomonadati; Pseudomonadota; Gammaproteobacteria; Enterobacterales; Yersiniaceae.
AGCGUACACGGUGGAUGCCUAGGCAGUCAGAGGCGAUGAAGGGCGUGCUAAUCUGCGAAAAGCGUCGGUAAGGUGAUAUGAACCGUUAUAACCGGCGAUACCCGAAUGGGGAAACCCAGUGUGUUUCGACACACUAUCAUGUCAUGAAUACAUAGUGGCAUGAGGCGAACCGGGGGAACUGAAACAUCUAAGUACCCCGAGGAAAAGAAAUCAACCGAGAUUCCCCCAGUAGCGGCGAGCGAACGGGGAGGAGCCCAGAACCUGAAUCGGCNAAAGGGUGAUAGCCCCGUACACUAAAAUGCACAGGUCGUGAGUUCGAUGAGUAGGGCGGGACACGUGACAUCCUGUCUGAAUAUGGGGGGACCAUCCUCCAAGGCUAAAUACUCCUGACUGACCGAUAGUGAACCAGUACCGUGAGGGAAAGGCGAAAAGAACCCCGGCGAGGGGAGUGAAAUAGAACCUGAAACCGUGUACGUACAAGCAGUGGGAGCACCUUCGUGGUGUGACUGCGUACCUUUUGUAUAAUGGGUCAGCGACUUAUAUUUUGUAGCAAGGUUAACCGUAUAGGGGAGCCGUAGGGAAACCGAGUCUUAACUGGGCGAUUAGUUGCAAGGUAUAGACCCGAAACCCGGUGAUCUAGCCAUGGGCAGGUUGAAGGUUGGGUAACACUAACUGGAGGACCGAACCGACUAAUGUUGAAAAAUUAGCGGAUGACUUGUGGCUGGGGGUGAAAGGCCAAUCAAACCGGGAGAUAGCUGGUUCUCCCCGAAAGCUAUUUAGGUAGCGCCUCGUGAACUCAUCUUCGGGGGUAGAGCACUGUUUCGGCUAGGGGGCCAUCCCGGCUUACCAAACCGAUGCAAACUCCGAAUACCGAAGAAUGUUAUCACGGGAGACACACGGCGGGUGCUAACGUCCGUCGUGAAGAGGGAAACAACCCAGACCGCCAGCUAAGGUCCCAAAGUCAUGGUUAAGUGGGAAACGAUGUGGGAAGGCACAGACAGCCAGGAUGUUGGCUUAGAAGCAGCCAUCAUUUAAAGAAAGCGUAAUAGCUCACUGGUCGAGUCGGCCUGCGCGGAAGAUGUAACGGGGCUAAACCAUGCACCGAAGCUGCGGCAGCGACGCUUAGGCGUUGUUGGGUAGGGGAGCGUUCUGUAAGCCGUUGAAGGUGGCCUGUGAGGGUUGCUGGAGGUAUCAGAAGUGCGAAUGCUGACAUAAGUAACGAUAAAGCGGGUGAAAAGCCCGCUCGCCGGAAGACCAAGGGUUCCUGUCCAACGUUAAUCGGGGCAGGGUGAGUCGACCCCUAAGGCGAGGCUGAAAAGCGUAGUCGAUGGGAAACAGGUUAAUAUUCCUGUACUUGGUGUUACUGCGAAGGGGGGACGGAGAAGGCUAGGCUGGCCGGGCGACGGUUGUCCCGGUUUAAGCGUGUAGGGGGUGUGACCUGGUAAAUCCGGUUGCAUAUCAACCCUGAGGCGUGAUGACGAUGCACUACGGUGCAGAAGUAGUUGAUGCCCUGCUUCCAGGAAAAUCCUCUAAGCUCCAGGUAACAUUAAAUCGUACCCCAAACCGACACAGGUGGUCAGGUAGAGAAUACCAAGGCGCUUGAGAGAACUCGGGUGAAGGAACUAGGCAAAAUGGUGCCGUAACUUCGGGAGAAGGCACGCUGGCAUGUAGGUGAAGUCCCUUGCGGAUGGAGCUGAAGCCAGUCGAAGAUACCAGCUGGCUGCAACUGUUUAAUAAAAACACAGCACUGUGCAAACACGAAAGUGGACGUAUACGGUGUGACGCCUGCCCGGUGCUGGAAGGUUAAUUGAUGGGGUCAGCCGCAAGGCGAAGCUCUUGAUCGAAGCCCCAGUAAACGGCGGCCGUAACUAUAACGGUCCUAAGGUAGCGAAAUUCCUUGUCGGGUAAGUUCCGACCUGCACGAAUGGCGUAAUGAUGGCCAGGCUGUCUCCACCCGAGACUCAGUGAAAUUGAACUCGCUGUGAAGAUGCAGUGUACCCGCGGCAAGACGGAAAGACCCCGUGAACCUUUACUAUAGCUUGACACUGAACAUUGAGCCUUGAUGUGUAGGAUAGGUGGGAGGCUUUGAAGCGUGGACGCCAGUCUGCGUGGAGCCAUCCUUGAAAUACCACCCUUUAAUGUUUGAUGUUCUAACUCUGCCCCAUAAUCUGGGGUGAGGACAGUGUCUGGUGGGUAGUUUGACUGGGGCGGUCUCCUCCCAAAGAGUAACGGAGGAGCACGAAGGUUAGCUAAUCACGGUCGGACAUCGUGAGGUUAGUGCAAAGGCAUAAGCUAGCUUGACUGCGAGAGUGACGGCUCGAGCAGGUACGAAAGUAGGUCUUAGUGAUCCGGUGGUUCUGAAUGGAAGGGCCAUCGCUCAACGGAUAAAAGGUACUCCGGGGAUAACAGGCUGAUACCGCCCAAGAGUUCAUAUCGACGGCGGUGUUUGGCACCUCGAUGUCGGCUCAUCACAUCCUGGGGCUGAAGUAGGUCCCAAGGGUAUGGCUGUUCGCCAUUUAAAGUGGUACGCGAGCUGGGUUUAGAACGUCGUGAGACAGUUCGGUCCCUAUCUGCCGUGGGCGUUGGAAGAUUGAGAGGGGUUGCUCCUAGUACGAGAGGACCGGAGUGAACGCACCACUGGUGUUCGGGUUGUCAUGCCAAUGGCAUUGCCCGGUAGCUAAGUGCGGAAAAGAUAAGCGCUGAAAGCAUCUAAGCGCGAAACUUGCCUCAAGAUGAGUCU